GAUGAACGCUGGCGGCGUGCCUAAUACAUGCAAGUCGAACGAACGCGACCGGUGCUUGCACCGGUCAUUUUAGCGGCGGACGGGUGAGUAACACGUGGAUAACCUGCCUAUCAGACGGGGAUAACAUCGGGAAACGGAAGCUAAUACCGCAUAAUACUUUGAACCGCAUGGUUCAAAGGUGAAAGAAGGCGUAGGCGUCUGUUAUUGGUGGGUCCGCGCUGCAUUAGCUAGUUGGUAAGGUAACGGCUUACCAAGGCCCGGAUGCAUAGCCGACCUGAGAGGGUGAUCGGCCACACUGGAACUGAGACACGGCCCAGACUCCUACGGGAGGCAGCAGUAGGGAAUCUUCCGCAAUGGGCGCAAGUCUGACGGAGCAACGCCGCGUGAGUGAUGAAGGUCUUCGGAUCGUAAAACUCUGUUGUUAGGGAAGAACAUAUGUUAGAGUAACUGUUAGCGUCUUGACGGUAUCUAACCAGAAAGCCACGGCUAACUACGUG
RNAcentral lists this ribosomal RNA (497 nucleotides) under uncultured bacterium. RNAcentral describes it as "partial 16S ribosomal RNA". It matches the Rfam family "Bacterial small subunit ribosomal RNA", at positions 28 to 507 of the family's 1533-position model. The record is from RNAcentral.